RNAcentral lists this ribosomal RNA (114 nucleotides) under uncultured bacterium. RNAcentral's name for it is "partial 16S ribosomal RNA". It matches the Rfam family "Bacterial small subunit ribosomal RNA", at positions 1369 to 1482 of the family's 1533-position model. The record is from RNAcentral.
CGUUCCCGGGCCUUGUACACACCGCCCGUCACACCACGAAAGUUGGUAACACCCGAAGCCGGUGGCCCAACUCUUGGGAGGGAGCCGUCGAAGGUGGGAUCAGCGAUUGGGGUG